ACUGCACCCUACCACCCUCAAGGCUGCUAGCUUUAGGGUGGCAGGGACAUUUUCUUUGCUCAGGUCAGCUCAAAUAAGGGGUUAAGCCCAAGGCAGAGUGAUGCCCCCCCAGCUGCCUCCCACUGCCUGGACCCUGAGGGAUACCUCUGCUCUUUGUGCCAACCAGUGGGCAGCUGCCUCAGCCUCCCUUCUUGCAGGGAUGGGGAGUAACUAUGGUAACUGUCUCCGGCUGCAUCCCAGCUCCAUGUUUGCCUCUCCUCAAUACCACUUGUGUUUGUCUUUGAUGCUUCUUUUGCAGCUUACUCCUUUCUCCCAACAGAAGGCAGAAAGAGUGGUCUUGCAACAGCUUCCAGCCUCCCCUCAGACAGUGUUAACCACAGACGAGCUGUCUCUGCAGGUACAGCAUUGCCUUGCACAACCUUCCCUGCUCGUCACCUGAGAGCCUCCAUGGGUUCACAGCAGGGCUGGUUAAUCACCAAAGCACAAAAUGAGUGGCAGAAGCCUGGCAGGAGCCUGGAGGUGCCAGCAGGCAUCAGCAAGCACCACCCAAGAGGCACGCUGCGAGGAAUGGUGGGGUGGCAUGCUUGCAGCUAGCCUGUGGACAUACACACCAGCCUGGGUUGUUUCCGGAACGACCCUUAAUCCCUGCAUCCUCCCUCCCCCAGCUGCGGAAAAGGGCGGCUGAGCUCCCUCCUGCACCUUCAGUCACGUUCAUCGGAGGCUCUGGGGCACGGCCACUGCUGCAGCGCCCGGCACCAGAAUUUAUGCUCCAAUCUCAGCUGUGACUGUUCAGCACGUCUGACACCAGCUGAAAACAUCUGGAAUGGUUCUGAUAGGAGCCAAGCCAGCUGCCUUUUCAUAUUUCUCUGGGACUGGGAGAUAUUUAUCAGAUGUGAGUCUCUCCUCUCGAAUAAUAUGUUAUCUGAAUAAAUAACUGGUGGUGGCUCAGA
This is a long non-coding RNA of Pezoporus flaviventris, 950 nucleotides long. RefSeq lists it as uncharacterized. Lineage: Eukaryota; Metazoa; Chordata; Aves; Psittaciformes; Psittacidae. The transcript is spliced from 2 exons. The record is from RefSeq and is a predicted model, not a curated record.